GAAUUGCCCUUGGUUUUAAAGUAACUUCAAUUUCACAUUUCAUUAAAUAUCUGUAUGAGGAUACUUGUUGAAGAGCUAAAGUGACCAAUCCACCAGCUGCAGUAAAGGAGAAAGCCUCAUUGGAUAAAUACCCUUCAUUGCUAGCUUCCUGACUGCAUUUCUACUUUAUUCUUGCUACAGAUUAUGUGACUUUUAGGAGACAAAACACUUUAUCAAUGUGUGUUUCAAAGA
RNAcentral lists this unclassified non-coding RNA (231 nucleotides) under Hevea brasiliensis (rubber tree). The record is from RNAcentral. Lineage: Eukaryota; Viridiplantae; Streptophyta; Magnoliopsida; Malpighiales; Euphorbiaceae.